AUCAGAACACUCCUGAACUGGGACGGUUUGGAUUAACUGCAGGUCUGGGGUAGUUUGGGUGGAGGUCAGGGGCAAUUUGGGUGGAGGUCAGGGGUAGUUUGGGUGGAGGUCUGGGGCAGUUUGGGUGGAGGUCUGGGGCAGUUUGGGUGGAGGUCAGGGGUAGUUUUAGUGGAGGUCAGGGGUCGUUUGGGUGGAGGUCUGGGGAAGUUUGGGUGGAGGUCAGGGGUAGUUUGGGUGGAGGUCAGGGGUAGUUUGGGUGGAGGUCUGGGGCAGUUUGGGUGGAGGUCAGGGGUAGUUUGGGUGGAGGUCAGGGGUAGUUUGGGUGGAGGUCUGGGGCAGUUUGGGUGGAGGUCAGGGGUAGUUUGGGUGGAGGUCAGGGGUAGUUUGGGUGGAGGUCUGGGGCAGUUUGGGUGGAGGUCAGGGGUAGUUUGGGUGGAGGUCUGGGGUAGUUUGGGUGGAGGUCUGGGGCAGUUUGGGUGGAGGUCAGGGGUAGUUUUAGUGGAGGUCAGGGGUCGUUUGGGUGGAGGUCUGGGGAAGUUUGGGUGGAGGUCAGGGGUAGUUUGGGUGGAGGUCAGGGGUAGUUUGGGUGGAGGUCAGGGGUAGUUUGGGUGGAGGUCUGGGGAAGUUUGGGUGGAGGUCUGGGAUAGUUUGGAUGGAGGUCUGAGGCAGUUUGGGUGGAGGUCAGGGGUAGGUCCAGUACUUCGGGGGCUUCUCCACG
Molecule: long non-coding RNA, 718 nt
Organism: Acanthochromis polyacanthus (spiny chromis)
Lineage: Eukaryota; Metazoa; Chordata; Actinopteri; Pomacentridae
Exons: 6
Source: RefSeq, a predicted model, not a curated record